GAUGAACGCUGGCGGCGUGCCUAAUACAUGCAAGUCGAGCGAACAGACGAGGAGCUUGCUCCUUUGACGUUAGCGGCGGACGGGUGAGUAACACGUAGGUAACCUACCUAUAAUACUGGUAUAACUUCGGGAAACCGUAUCUAAUACCGGAUAAUAUUUCGAACCGCAUUGUUCGAUAGUUAAAGAUGGCUUUGCUAUCUCUUAUAGAUGUACCUGCGCCGUAUUAGCUAGUUGGUAAGGUAACGGCUUACCAAGGCAACGAUACGUAGCCGACCUGAGAGGGGGAUCGGACACACUGGAAGUGGGAAACGGUACAGACUACUACGGGAGGAAGAAGUAGGGAAUAUUCCGCAAUGGGCGAAAGCAGGACGGAGCAACGCCGAGUGAGUGAUGAAGGUCUUCGGAUCGUAAAACUAUGUUAUUAGGGAAGAACAAACGUGUAAGUAACUGUGCACGUCUUGACGGUAACUAAUCAGAAAGCAACGGCUAACUACGUG
This 497-nucleotide ribosomal RNA is filed under the name uncultured bacterium. RNAcentral's name for it is "partial 16S ribosomal RNA". It matches the Rfam family "Bacterial small subunit ribosomal RNA", at positions 28 to 507 of the family's 1533-position model. The record is from RNAcentral.